Molecule: ribosomal RNA, 325 nt
Filed under: uncultured prokaryote
Description: partial 16S ribosomal RNA
Source: RNAcentral
CCCUAUGGGGUGCAGCAUUGAGUGAACAGGAUGGACAGGAGCAGGCCGAAAUCGAUGGAGCCCGUGAUUUGGCCAAUCGGAACGAAGAACUCCCCAAGCCAGGCUAUGCCCGGGGCCUUGCUUUCAAAAGCCUUGAGCAGAGCCAGCGGCCAAGUAAGCGGGCCCCGAAUGAAAGAGCGCCACAGCUCUACCGAAACCUCCCCGUACCAUGAUUGGUCCCAGGGCCAGACGGCGUUGUUGGCUGUAAUCCAAUAAAGGGUGGGCAGCAAUAAGGAACCGCUAAGAAGGUAGGGCAGGAGGGAUUUUAUUCGUUCGGCGGGGGAGC